Pelobates cultripes (western spadefoot toad) is the source of this 231-nucleotide non-coding RNA. The record is from the annotation of a GenBank genome assembly. NCBI's taxonomy places the organism in Eukaryota, Metazoa, Chordata, Amphibia, Anura, Pelobatidae.
AUCAUUUAAUGCCGUCUCAUGGAUGCUUUAAAUAACUAUGCAAUUAUUUAAUGUCAUUCCUCGCCUCCGAUACUGUCAGAGCUCUGUUUUCAGUGCACCGCUCUGCAGUAUAACAUCAGGAACCAGAGUCACCUUUAAUAUUACGAAGCUUGUGAAAUAUAUUUACAGGGAAAAUCAUGAGGCUCACAUAAAUCAGACGCUCUGCGCUUGUACUGAAACCCAGGCACUAUU